Stegostoma tigrinum is the source of this 549-nucleotide long non-coding RNA. RefSeq lists it as uncharacterized. Lineage: Eukaryota; Metazoa; Chordata; Chondrichthyes; Orectolobiformes; Stegostomatidae. The record is from RefSeq and is a predicted model, not a curated record. The transcript is spliced from 3 exons.
UAAGAGUUUACUUCUAUAAAUUAAAGCCUCUGCGUAGGAAUCAAAUGAAGACAAAAGACUUUAAUUUAUAGAAGUAUGUAAAUGAAUGAGAUGAUUUCACAUUAACAUCUCUCAGACAGUUUAACUGCAGGUCCAUAACAGCGAAACAUCAACAGUUACUUAGGGCUCUGAAACUAUCUGUAUAGCUUCUGAUAGUCAUGUAAGUAUUACUCACCCAGCUGUGAGCUGACGGUGGGGUAGAGAAGCUCUGAAGAUAGUAUGGAAGUGGCAGUCCUGUUGAAAUUCGAGGACUCAGAACGUUGACAGAAACUGAACAGCAUCCUGUUUUGUAAGUGCUCAGUGUGUGGAAUGAACUGCCAGAGGAAGUGAAGGAUGUGGGUGGUUACGAUGUUUGAAAAACAUUCAGGUGGAACAUAAGAACAAAAUGACAACAACUGACACAAAAAAACAGCACGACCUUAUCACCACUGGAUGAAAAUCCUACAACUCCUUACCAAUUUGCAACAUGGGAGCUACAUCACCACGUGGAUUGCAGCAGUUCAAGAAAGU